GACGAACGCUGGCGGCGUGCUUAACACAUGCAAGUCGAGCGGAAAGGCCCUUCGGGGUACUCGAGCGGCGAACGGGUGAGUAACACGUGAGUAACCUGCCCCAGACUUUGGGAUAACCCUCGGAAACGGGGGCUAAUACCGGAUACGACACAGCUUCGCAUGGGGUCUGUGUGUAAAGUUUUUCGGUUUGGGAUGGGCUCGCGGCCUAUCAGCUUGUUGGUGGGGUGAUGGCCUACCAAGGCGACGACGGGUAGCCGGCCUGAGAGGGCGACCGGCCACACUGGGACUGAGACACGGCCCAGACUCCUACGGGAGGCAGCAGUGGGGAAUAUUGCACAAUGGGCGGAAGCCUGAUGCAGCGACGCCGCGUGAGGGAUGACGGCCUUCGGGUUGUAAACCUCUUUCAGCAGGGACGAAGCGUAAGUGACGGUACCUGCAGAAGAAGCGCCGGCCAACUACGUG
This 462-nucleotide ribosomal RNA is filed under the name uncultured bacterium. Its description in RNAcentral is "partial 16S ribosomal RNA". It matches the Rfam family "Bacterial small subunit ribosomal RNA", at positions 28 to 507 of the family's 1533-position model. The record is from RNAcentral.